Molecule: long non-coding RNA, 567 nt
Organism: Chelonia mydas (Green sea turtle)
Lineage: Eukaryota; Metazoa; Chordata; Testudines; Cheloniidae
Exons: 3
Source: RefSeq, a predicted model, not a curated record
GGAGUCGCUCUCGAAGCAGAAGAGCAUGUUCUGCAGCAGCGCGAACCACUUGCUCUGCCAUUUCGUGUUGUCGCCGCUGCGCUUGCUCAGGUAGCCGCGGCGGCUGCCGUCCCGCUUCGCCAGCAGCCCCAGGCUGAGUGUCACGCAGCUGGGGUGAAAGAACUGGUGGCUGAACGUCAAACAUGCCAGCAAAAGAUGAGCCCAUGUGUCCAGCAGCAGCAGGCCGGGAAAAGAAUAAUUCACCACACCAAGAAACUUUGAUUUGUUUUCUAUCCUCUCUCUUGUCUUCUACGUGAAUUAGCCAGAAUUAAUCCCAGCUGCUGAGGAAAUGGGCCUGCCUCUGCUCUUCCUUACUCCAGCCUUAUAGUGCUGUAACACCAGGACCUCCUGUGGAUCUGCUUCCAAUUGACAGCUGGAGAAUCAGGCCCAAGCUAGAAUGUUUGAGUUGAUCUUUCUUUCCACCCAAAGGAACAGGUAUGUUCCCAGGCCUCCAGUCUGAAGUCCCACCCAUAUACCUGAGAAAAAGUGCAAGAUGUAACAGCAAAGAUGAAAAAAGUGCAACACCCA